UGAGGAAUAUUGGUCAAUGGGCGGAAGCCUGAACCAGCCAUGCCGCGUGCAGGACGACGGCCCUACGGGUUGUAAACUGCUUUUCCGGGGGAAGAAUAAGGGCGACGCGUCGCCCGAUGCCGGUACCCCGGGAAUAAGGAUCGGCUAACUCCGUGCCAGCAGCCGCGGUAAUACGGAGGAUCCGAGCGUUAUCCGGAUUUACUGGGUUUAAAGGGUGCGUAGGCGGGCCCCGCAGUCAGCGGUGAAAGUCUGUGGCUCAACCGUAGGAUUGCCGGUGAUACUGGGGGCGUUGGAUUCGGUCGAGGCGGGCGGAAUGCGUGGUGUAGCGGUGAAAUGCUUAGAUAUCACACAGAACGCCGAUUGCGAAGGCAACUCGCCGGGCCGAAAUCGACGCUGAGGCACGAAAGCGUGGGGAUCGAACA
RNAcentral lists this ribosomal RNA (422 nucleotides) under uncultured prokaryote. RNAcentral's name for it is "bacterial SSU rRNA". It matches the Rfam family "Bacterial small subunit ribosomal RNA", at positions 355 to 774 of the family's 1533-position model. The record is from RNAcentral.